UUGGCUUGGUCAAGUCAGUGUUGAAAGGAUCUCCUGCUCUUUCAAGGGGAUCUGGGGCUCUCAAAG
This is a non-coding RNA of Callithrix jacchus (white-tufted-ear marmoset), 66 nucleotides long. The record is from Rfam. Lineage: Eukaryota; Metazoa; Chordata; Mammalia; Primates; Cebidae.